AGAGUUUGAUCCUGGCUCAGGACGAACGCUGGCGGCGUGCCUAACACAUGCAAGUCGAGCGAGAGACUUCGGUCUCUAGCGGCGGACGGGUGAGUAACACGUGGGUAACCUGCCUCAAACAGGGGGAUAGCCUCCCGAAAGGGAGAUUAAUACCGCAUAACAUCGCGCUAUCGCAUGAUAGUGUGAUCAAAGGAGUAAUC
This 200-nucleotide ribosomal RNA is filed under the name uncultured bacterium. Its description in RNAcentral is "partial 16S ribosomal RNA". It matches the Rfam family "Bacterial small subunit ribosomal RNA", at positions 8 to 215 of the family's 1533-position model. The record is from RNAcentral.